UCUUGCACAAGCUUCACCAAAAGAAAUUUCUUUCAAUUAUUUGUGCUAUAGAAAGAAAGAGGAUUAGUCACCAAAUAACAAGGUUUUCUUAGAAAAAAAUUAUCAUUUUGUGUAUUGUCUGAUAGAAUUAGGCACAUAAUUCCAAAGAAAAAUAAAAGAGCUUUCUUGAUACAAUAAAUAUAUAAACAGCUUAGACAUUUUGGAAUAUGCAUAAUAUAUUUUAUUUAGUUGAUUCAAUCUUUUACAAAUAUUUGUACAAUCAAUAUUUUUGGAUUGACAUGUAUCAAUAA
Molecule: long non-coding RNA, 290 nt
Filed under: Physcomitrium patens
Lineage: Eukaryota; Viridiplantae; Streptophyta; Bryopsida; Funariales; Funariaceae
Description: long non-coding RNA (PPAT_LNC014572)
Source: RNAcentral